This 620-nucleotide ribosomal RNA is filed under the name Brevibacterium epidermidis. Its description in RNAcentral is "bacterial SSU rRNA". It matches the Rfam family "Bacterial small subunit ribosomal RNA", at positions 76 to 709 of the family's 1533-position model. Lineage: Bacteria; Bacillati; Actinomycetota; Actinomycetes; Micrococcales; Brevibacteriaceae. The record is from RNAcentral.
CAGCUUGCUGUUGGUGGAUGAGUGGCGAACGGGUGAGUAACACGUGAGUAACCUGCCCCUGAUUUCGGGAUAAGCCUGGGAAACUGGGUCUAAUACCGGAUAUGACCUCCUCUUGCAUGAUGGGUGGUGGAAAGUUUUUCGAUCGGGGAUGGGCUCGCGGCCUAUCAGCUUGUUGGUGGGGUAAUGGCCUACCAAGGCGACGACGGGUAGCCGGCCUGAGAGGGCGACCGGCCACACUGGGACUGAGACACGGCCCAGACUCCUACGGGAGGCAGCAGUGGGGAAUAUUGCACAAUGGGGGAAACCCUGAUGCAGCGACGCAGCGUGCGGGAUGACGGCCUUCGGGUUGUAAACCGCUUUCAGCAGGGAAGAAGCGAAAGUGACGGUACCUGCAGAAGAAGUACCGGCUAACUACGUGCCAGCAGCCGCGGUAAUACGUAGGGUACGAGCGUUGUCCGGAAUUAUUGGGCGUAAAGAGCUCGUAGGUGGUUGGUCACGUCUGCUGUGGAAACGCAACGCUUAACGUUGCGCGUGCAGUGGGUACGGGCUGACUAGAGUGCAGUAGGGGAGUCUGGAAUUCCUGGUGUAGCGGUGAAAUGCGCAGAUAUCAGGAGGAACAC